CCCCCUUGUCAAAGUCUGAUCUCUUCUGAUCUCAGAAGUUAAGCAAGGCCCGGUGUGGUUAGUACUUGGAUGGAAGAUUGCUGGGAAUACCCAG
Molecule: ribosomal RNA, 94 nt
Filed under: Periophthalmus magnuspinnatus
Lineage: Eukaryota; Metazoa; Chordata; Actinopteri; Gobiiformes; Gobiidae
Source: RNAcentral